CUUAACCUCGGAAUUGCAGUCGAUACUGCUGUGACUCGAGUCCGGUAGAGGAGAAUGGAAUUCUCGGUGUAGCGGUGAAAUGCGCAGAUAUCGAGAGGAACACCAGUAGCGAAGGCGGUUCUCUGGGCCGGCACUGACGCUGAGGAGCGAAAGCGUGGGGAGCAAACAGGAUUAGAUACCCUGGUAGUCCACGCCGUAAACGUUGGAUACUAGGUGUGGCGGUUGUACCAACGACUGCCGUGCCGAAGCUAACGCAUUAAGUAUCCCGCCUGGGGAGUACGGCCGCAAGGCUAAAACUCAAAGGGAUUGACGGGUCCCCGCACAAGCGGCGGAGCAUGCGGCUUUAUUCGAUGCAACCCGAAGAACCUUACCUGGGUUUGACAUCACGGGAAAAACUGUAGAAAUACAGUGUCCGUAAGGGCCC
RNAcentral lists this ribosomal RNA (424 nucleotides) under uncultured bacterium. Its description in RNAcentral is "bacterial SSU rRNA". It matches the Rfam family "Bacterial small subunit ribosomal RNA", at positions 608 to 1029 of the family's 1533-position model. The record is from RNAcentral.